GCUUGUGAUCCAAGUUCUUUCUAAGCUCUUAAAAUAAUUGACUCAUUUUAGAUGAACCUCUUUUUUCAAAAUUUAUUCUAAUCAUAUCAUUAUGGUCAAGCAUCCACCUAAAUUUUUUCUACAAUUAUUUUUGAAAAUGGUGAUAAACACAUGAAAAAUGAGUUAGACAUGUCGCAUUAUAAAGUACUAACCAAAACAACAUAUGCACAUUUAUCAAUCCAUUUAAAGUUUUACACAUCAUUAUCUUGAAUUGUUCAAACCAAAAAUCUUAAGU
This 274-nucleotide long non-coding RNA is filed under the name Elaeis guineensis (African oil palm). Its description in RNAcentral is "long non-coding RNA (EGUI_LNC033734)". Lineage: Eukaryota; Viridiplantae; Streptophyta; Magnoliopsida; Arecales; Arecaceae. The record is from RNAcentral.